AGAGUUUGAUCCUGGCUCAGGACGAACGCUGGCGGCGUGCCUAAUACAUGCAAGUCGAGCGGAUUAACUUGAGAGCUUGCUCUCAAGUUGGUUAGCGGCGGACGGGUGAGUAACACGUAGGUAACCUGCCUGUAAGACUGGGAUAACAUUCGGAAACGAAUGCUAAUACCAGAUACGCGAUUCUCUCGCAUGGGAGAAUCGGGAAAGACGGAGCAAUCUGUCACUUACAGAUGGACCUGCGGCGCAUUAGCUAGUUGGUGGGGUAACGGCUCACCAAGGCGACGAUGCGUAGCCGACCUGAGAGGGUGAUCGGCCACACUGGGACUGAGACACGGCCCAGACUCCUACGGGAGGCAGCAGUAGGGAAUCUUCCGCAAUGGACGAAAGUCUGACGGAGCAACGCCGCGUGAGUGAUGAAGGCUUUCGGGUCGUAAAGCUCUGUUGCCAGGGAAGAACACUUGAGAGAGUAACUGCUCUCAAGGUGACGGUACCUGAGAAGAAAGCCCCGGCUAACUACGUGCCAGCAGCCGCGGUAAUUC
This 539-nucleotide ribosomal RNA is filed under the name uncultured bacterium. Its description in RNAcentral is "bacterial SSU rRNA". It matches the Rfam family "Bacterial small subunit ribosomal RNA", at positions 8 to 526 of the family's 1533-position model. The record is from RNAcentral.